AGUGAACGCUGGCGGCAGGCCUAACACAUGCAAGUCGAGCGGCAGCGCGGGGGCAACCCUGGCGGCGAGCGGCGGACGGGUGAGGAAUUCGUCGGAAUCUGCCUUUUUGUGGGGGAUAACGUAGGGAAACUUACGCUAAUACCGCAUACGUCCUACGGGAGAAAGUGGGGGACCGCAAGGCCUCACGCAGAAAGAUGAGCCGACGACCGAUUAGCUAGUUGGUGGGGUAAAGGCCUACCAAGGCGACGAUCGGUAGCUGGUCUGAGAGGAUGAUCAGCCACACUGGGACUGAGACACGGCCCAGACUCCUACGGGAGGCAGCAGUGGGGAAUAUUGGACAAUGGGCGCAAGCCUGAUCCAGCCAUGCCGCGUGUGUGAAGAAGGCCUUCGGGUUGUAAAGCACUGUUGUCCGGAAAGAAAUCCCUGGAGCUAAUACCUGCGGGGGAUGACGGUACCGGAAGAAUAAGCACCGGCUAACUUCGUG
RNAcentral lists this ribosomal RNA (484 nucleotides) under uncultured bacterium. RNAcentral describes it as "partial 16S ribosomal RNA". It matches the Rfam family "Bacterial small subunit ribosomal RNA", at positions 30 to 507 of the family's 1533-position model. The record is from RNAcentral.